This 440-nucleotide ribosomal RNA is filed under the name uncultured bacterium. RNAcentral describes it as "partial 16S ribosomal RNA". It matches the Rfam family "Bacterial small subunit ribosomal RNA", at positions 338 to 795 of the family's 1533-position model. The record is from RNAcentral.
CCUACGGGAGGCAGCAGUGGGGGAUAUUGCACAAUGGGGGGAACCCUGAUGCAGCGACGCCGCGUGGGUGAAGAAGCGCCUCGGCGCGUAAAGCCCUGUCAGCAGGGAAGAAAAUGACGGUACCUGAAGAAGAAGCCCCGGCUAACUACGUGCCAGUAGCCGCGGUACUACGUAGGGGGCAAGCGUUAUCCGGAUUUACUGUGUGUAAAGUGGGCGCAGACGGAGAUGCACGCCCGGAGUGAAAGCCCGGUGCAGAACCCCGGGACUGCUCUUGGAACUGCGUGGCUGGAGUGCAGGAGGGGCAGGCGGAAUGCCUGGGGUAGCGGUGAAAUGCGUAGAUAUCAGGAGGAACACCGGUGGCGAAGGCGGCCGGCUGGACUGCAACUGACGUUGAGGCCCGAAAGCGUGGGGAGCAAACAGGAUUAGAUACCCGAGUAGUC